This 474-nucleotide ribosomal RNA is filed under the name uncultured Methanomicrobiales archaeon. Its description in RNAcentral is "bacterial SSU rRNA". It matches the Rfam family "Archaeal small subunit ribosomal RNA", at positions 871 to 1337 of the family's 1478-position model. The record is from RNAcentral. Lineage: Archaea; Methanobacteriati; Methanobacteriota; Methanomicrobia; Methanomicrobiales.
ACGGGGAGCACCACAACAGGGUGGAGCCUGUACGGUUUAAUCGGACUCAACGCCGGGAAACUCACCAGAUAAGACAGCUGAAUGAUAGUCGGGCUGAAGACUCUACUUGACUAGCUGAGAGGAGGUGCAUGGCCGUCGUCAGUUUCGUACUGUGAAGCAUCCUGUUAAGUCAGGCAACGAGCGAGACCCACGCCAACAGUUGCCAGCUCGUCCUCCGGGAUGGUGGGGACACUGUUGGGACCGCUCUGCUAAAGAGGAGGAAGGGAAUGGGCAACGGUAGGUCAGCAUGCCCCGAAUUAUCUGGGCUACACGCGGGCUACAAUGGGUGGGACAAUGGGUAUCGACACCGAAAGGUGAAGGCAAUCUCCUAAACCCAUCCGUAGUUCGGAUUGUGGGCUGCAACUCGCCCACAUGAAGCUGGAAUCUGUAGUAAUCGUGUCUCAAAAUGGCACGGUGAAUAUGUCCCUGCUCCUU